This 505-nucleotide ribosomal RNA is filed under the name uncultured bacterium. RNAcentral describes it as "partial 16S ribosomal RNA". It matches the Rfam family "Bacterial small subunit ribosomal RNA", at positions 28 to 507 of the family's 1533-position model. The record is from RNAcentral.
GACGAACGCUGGCGGCGUGCCUAAUACAUGCAAGUAGAACGCACAGUUUAUACCGUAGCUUGCUACACCAUAAACUGUGAGUUGCGAACGGGUGAGUAACGCGUAGGUAACCUGCCUGGUAGCGGGGGAUAACUAUUGGAAACGAUCGCUAAUACCGCAUAAUAUUGAUUAUUGCAUGAUAAUUGAUUGAAAGAUGCUAUUGCAUCACUACCAGAUGGACCUGCGUUGUAUUAGCUAGUAGGUGAGGUAACGGCUCACCUAGGCGACGAUACAUAGCCGACCUGGGAGGGUGAUCGGCCACACUGGGACUGAGAAACGGCCCAGACUCCUGCGGGAGGCAGCAGUAGGGAAUCUUCGGCAAUGGACGAAAGUCUGACCGAGCAACGCCGCGUGAGUGAAGAAGGUUUUCGGAUCGUAAAGCUCUGUUGUAAGAGAAGAACGGGUGUGAGAGUGGAAAGUUCACACUGUGACGGUAUCUUACCAGAAAGGGACGGCUAACUACGUG